CUUGCCCAGGCAAAGAGUGGAGAAGCUUUUAUAGGAAAGCUGUAAAAGCAAGCAGGGUUGACCUGGGCACUCCCCCAGUUCCCAUGAGUCUGGGGCCCACGACUGGCUCAUCGAUUGCUUGAACAAGCACACAUCAGAGACAUCCAGAUCAGAAUGGAAGCUGCUCAAGGCUCAGAUGAUCCCUGAGCCACCAACGUUAUCCUGGAGGUUCUUAUCACAGAGUAUGGGAAAUGCCAUACUGGGCUGUGGGUUUGCAGAAAUCCUCCAAAAGAUGCAGAAACAAGUCCAGCUGAAAAUGGAAUGCUUCCUGAUGGCUCAUUUUGUUCCAGCCUCAACCCAAAGGAAUCCUCUGACACCACCAAGCAUCCUGCCCACUCCUCCUUCCUGAGCGCUCAACUUCCUUCUGAUCUAUUGUCGGCUUUUCCUUGCCUGAGCUCUGUGAUCUAACCAGAACCCAACGGAACCUAUAGAGAGUCCAAUCCUUGCCCGACAGCCCUGAGCCAGGCCCAUAGCUGCCUAGCCUACAGCACUGGGGGCAGAGGGAGGUCCUCUGGAUUAUGGCACAGGGGGAAGUUGCAGGAAAAACUCCCCACAAAUUAGCACCAUCUACAAUUGACCAACAAAGUGCAGAUACUUCUCAGCAUUCAAAGCCUAAACAAUCAGGAUGGAGACGUAUAAAGCAUUCAAUGCUUCACGUUGGCAGGACGAUACCAGGUAUUUCACUGACAGGUGAAAUAGCAGAGUGACGGGACAGAGUGAUCAAGGCAGAGUGAUCUAAAGGACACAGUAGUACUUCUUUAGGACCCUGGCAGAAUGGAAGAGAGCAUCUGGCUUCUAAGGCACUGCACAAACUUGAAUGAUCUUCUUCAGAAUUGACAAGGAAAGGCCAUGUUAUGUUCACCCUGGGUUAAGUUUUAAGUGUAUCUUAUUUAAUUUUUUUCAAUAUGAGUCAUCUCCAGAUACUGUGAUGAUUUCCAAAUAACCAGAAUCUAGAUGACUAGAAAUUUACUCUAGCUGGCUUUAGACAGGAAGCGUGAGGACAGAAUCCAGCUGCUUCCACUCCAGGGUAGGUCUGAAGCCAACCGUCCUCGGUUUCCUGGCCUGUGGCAUCAGUCUGGUUGGAUUACACACAAAGCCCUGCAGAUCUGCUGCUUUUCCUGAUUCUCCUGUCCUGAGUGAGUGCAAGGGGCUCCCCUGUCGUCGAUGUGUUCUUUGAAGCAGAUGCUGUGCCUGAUACCUGCUGGAGAGUCCCACCGCCUUGAGCUUCUGGGUCGAGAAAGGCCAAGUUGCACACUACUGAGAGACUGCCAUGCACCCCCUGGAGGCCUCAGAACAUUCGACAUGCUUCAGUCAUGGCCACGGCAGUGACUGCUGAUUGCCUAACCCCACAUGUGUUCUCCCCCUUCCCUGAUAAUCAAGCCCCUGAUUUUCAGCUGGGCACAAAAUAAUUCUUCCUAGAACAACUCCAUGUGUGUUAUCGCCCUUGCAGCUGGGGGUGGCCACCACUGGGGAGAGGCAGGGUGAAGAGGUGGAAGGAGCCUGAGUUAGCAGGGAUGAGCAGUGGCCAGGUAACCCCAGACCCACUAUCCUCUGGAUUUCUUUUAUGUGAAACAAUAAAAUGUCUUGUAUUCGAGCCU
RNAcentral lists this long non-coding RNA (1637 nucleotides) under Homo sapiens (human). RNAcentral describes it as "HSALNT0037773". The record is from RNAcentral. Lineage: Eukaryota; Metazoa; Chordata; Mammalia; Primates; Hominidae.